AAUGAAUCUUUGGUUUGCUUUACCCACAGCGUUAUCUAUGUGAUCUUCCCAGUUUAAGUUGAAUUUAUAGCCUUUAAAGUAGUGUGAUUUAUU
Schistocerca cancellata (South American locust) is the source of this 93-nucleotide small nucleolar RNA. RefSeq annotates it as small nucleolar RNA snoR27. Lineage: Eukaryota; Metazoa; Arthropoda; Insecta; Orthoptera; Acrididae. The record is from RefSeq and is a predicted model, not a curated record. The transcript has a single exon.